Molecule: long non-coding RNA, 361 nt
Filed under: Mytilus galloprovincialis (Mediterranean mussel)
Lineage: Eukaryota; Metazoa; Mollusca; Bivalvia; Mytilida; Mytilidae
Source: RNAcentral
ACUCGUAUCACUCGUUGGGACUUCAGACACACUAAAACUUUCAUUUGCAAGACAUUGAACUUAGAUUUUACUGAAAUAUCCCUUUAUUUGUUCAACUACACAAAAUGUUAGUCUUUAGUUUCAAUUUUAUAGCCGCUAUGUUCAUUCACAUUCAUCACCACGCCUGUUAUGUUUUUCUAAUCGACAGGGCCCAUAUCAAUGGACGGAAAAGGAAUGAUAAUGUUAUCACCUUGGGAGAGAACAGUUAAUCUUGUUUUUGAGUUUUUUGUCAAAGUAUCAUCUUGUACCUGCUGGCCAGAAAGGGACCUCUUUCGUGCAUGCUUAAUGUCAAUAUUUGAAAUUUCAAACAAACCCUCACUAG